UUUAUCAUAAACACAAUAAAUUGAAAAGUUUCGAAAUAUUGUAUUUACAGGGCAACAAUUUUAUUUACAUUAUUUGUUUUGCCUAGUAUUAUAUAAAUUCAACAUGAAAUAGCAUUUGCUCAUUUCGUAUUUUUUGCUCAACUUUUAACGUUUUCUUGCACUAAACUUGUUUUGGUGCAGCGUCAUAAGUUACAAAAACAACAACAGCUAACUAAAGCGGAAAUAAUUGUGGGUACUGUGAAAAUGUGAGUAUUUUAAUAGGCGAGUGGUAAAAAUACCUAGCAUCCAGUUGAUUUUGUAGGCUUUAAUAUAAAACGCGGCAUAAUAAAUUGCAUGUUACUUUUCCAUUUGCAGCCAGUGUAUGUAAAUUGAACUUUUCACUGCAAUAAUCCGCAAGUUGUAGUAAAUUUAACAUAAGUACAUGGUUGAAUUUUACAUACUAUGGGACAGACAAUGUCAUUGGCAUGUUUCUCAUCAUUAUAGCGCAGAAAGCGCUAAUUUCCAAAAUAAAAGCAGAAAGCCUGCAACUAAUUACUCCAAGUACGCAUGCAUGUGUGUUAGGUAUUUGACUCUUUCUUUCGAUGAAUGAGUUCAAAACAACAUUCGUUAUGUUUGGAUGAGUACUUAGACUUGUUCACCAGCCCGAAGAAGACUCAUGUGUGACAGUUAAAAAAAAUAAUAAUAAAAAAGUUAUAAGUGAGAAGUAGACACAGUUACACAGCAACUUGUACAAUUUCUUUCACUUUCUUUCACACAACGUGACGCAUAUCAGUAGUGCCAUCUUUAUUUAUCGCAUAGCAUAAAGCGUGUGUGCUUUAAUUCGAUCAAGUUAACACACAACUAGAAGAGAAAAGUGAAAUGGCGCACAUUUUGAGUGCGACAGGGGCAACAUGAACAACGUCAAGGGUUUUCAAAGUCAACACAGCAGCGAGCUAAGAGCAGCGAGUGUCUCGAUUCACUUUCGUUUUUUAUGAUUGUUACAAAAUAUCAACUCUCCAUAGACGAAUUUCGUUGGACAAUACAUAUUUAGUAUUUAAUUUGCAUAGUUGUCGGCAAAAAAAAACAACAAAAAUGCGCCAAGAAACUCGUUUUGAUUAUUGUGUGUACGAAUGACAACAACACGCGCGACAAAAUGUCUGCAUAUAAAAUAAAUGUAGAUUUUCAAGAGUUGUAUUUCUUGAUUUCACACACAAACAUAUUUAUACAUGAUCAUUGUUUUUGUAUUUUCGGCAGCGCGAUCAUCAGCUCUUCAUUAUUUCUAAUUGUGGAGGUCAGACAGGUUGAUGGAGUGAGGAGUGAGGAGAGGGCAGGGCGAAGCUUAACGUUAUGCUAAUGUCGCAUAGCCAAGAAUCUCAAUGCCUAUGAAUGGGCUCUUAAUUGGCUAACGAGU
This is a long non-coding RNA of Drosophila sulfurigaster albostrigata, 1390 nucleotides long. RefSeq lists it as uncharacterized. The record is from RefSeq and is a predicted model, not a curated record. The transcript is spliced from 2 exons. NCBI's taxonomy places the organism in Eukaryota, Metazoa, Arthropoda, Insecta, Diptera, Drosophilidae.